GAUGAAGAACGUAGUGAAAUGCGAUAAGUAAUGUGAAUUGCAGAAUUCAGUGAAUCAUCGAAUCUUUGAACGCACAUUGCGCCCGCCAGUAUUCUGGCGGGCAUGCCUGUUCGAGCGUCAUUUCAACCAUCAAGCCCCCGGCUUGUGUUGGGGACCUGCGGCUGCCGCAGGCCCUGAAAAGCAGUGGCGGGCUCGCUGUCACACCGAGCGUAGUAGCAUACAUCUCGCUCUGGGCGUGCUGCGGGUUCCGGCCGUUAAACCACCUUCAUAACCCAAGGUUGACCUCGGAUCAGGUAGGAAGACCCGCUGAACUUAAGCAUAUCAAAAGCGGAGGA
This 335-nucleotide unclassified non-coding RNA is filed under the name soil metagenome. Its description in RNAcentral is "partial contains 5.8S ribosomal RNA, internal transcribed spacer 2, and large subunit ribosomal RNA". The stretch from base 1 to 120 matches the Rfam family "5.8S ribosomal RNA", at positions 35 to 154 of the family's 154-position model. The record is from RNAcentral.